GUUGUUUUUACUACUUGGCGUGCCUUUCCUGUUGUUACAUUCAAUUUUUGUAGGUGUCAGACGAGUGUGUGAUGGCGUGCGGCGGUGGUGGCGCGUGUGAGGAGGCUAGCGGCUGAAGACGGUUAGGGAGGCUACGGUUUUCUGACAUUGUUUAAGUUUUUGGGCUUAUCGGGCCACCUAGGGUUUUUUUUAUUUUGGGUUUGGGCUGUUUGGGCCUGUUGUAAAUGGACUGGGACUAUUUAUUUAUUUAUUUGGUUUGUUUUUUUUUUUGUUGGGCCCAGGCAAAAAUGGCCUAUUACAGAUGCCCUUCUUUGCUCAUUUUCAUGUAACAAGAAUGGAGCAAAGACUUUAAAAGGGCCAAUUUUGCCUGGUCGUGCCGAAUCUCGACUUUUUGGUGCUUCUUUUCUUCAAGUAGCCUUAUUCUAUC
Molecule: long non-coding RNA, 427 nt
Filed under: Gossypium raimondii (Peruvian cotton)
Lineage: Eukaryota; Viridiplantae; Streptophyta; Magnoliopsida; Malvales; Malvaceae
Description: long non-coding RNA (GRAI_LNC002714)
Source: RNAcentral